RNAcentral lists this ribosomal RNA (460 nucleotides) under uncultured bacterium. Its description in RNAcentral is "partial 16S ribosomal RNA". It matches the Rfam family "Bacterial small subunit ribosomal RNA", at positions 338 to 795 of the family's 1533-position model. The record is from RNAcentral.
CCUACGGGUGGCAGCAGUGAGGAAUAUUGGUCAAUGGGCGAGAGCCUGAACCAGCCAAGUCGCGUGAAGGAUGACGGCCCUACGGGUUGUAAACUUCUUUUGUCAGGGAGCAAUUGGGUCCACGCGUGGGCUUAGCGAGAGUACCUGAAGAAAAAGCAUCGGCUAACUCCGUGCCAGCAGCCGCGGUCAUACGGGGGUUGCGAGCGUUAUCCGGAUUCAUUGGGUUUAAGGGGUGCGUAGGCGGAAUGUCAAGUAAGCGGUAAAAAUUCGGGGCUCAACCCCGUCGUGCCGUUGAAACUGAUGGUCUUGAGUGGGCGAGAAGUAUGCGGAAUGCGUGGUGUAGCGGUGAAAUGCAUAGAUAUCACGCAGAACACCGAUUGCGAAGGCAGCAUACCGGCGCCCAACUGACGCUGAAGCACGAAAGCGUGGGUAGCGAACAGGAUUAGAUACCCUGGUAGUC